UUCCACAGCCAUAAUACCCUGCAGCCCAAGACCGGUUACUGAAGCUCACUGAAGCUAAACAGGGCUGAGCCUGGUUAGUACCUGGAUGAGAGACCAGAUGAGAAAACUAGGUUGCUGUUGGAA
Molecule: ribosomal RNA, 123 nt
Organism: Danio rerio (zebrafish)
Lineage: Eukaryota; Metazoa; Chordata; Actinopteri; Cypriniformes; Danionidae
Source: Ensembl